CCCGCUUCCUCCGCGCGGAACCUGGCCCCCUCCGCCGCUCUGUUCUUGUCAGCCUCGGACACUUACACCUCGAAGAUUCGGGCGCGCAGACACUGCUCCACACACCGGGGAACGCAUCGGGGACGCGGGCUCGGCGCGCCAUUGUGCACAAAGCCAGUCCCCUUGCAAACACACGUGUCCAGGUACACACGCCAGGUGGGCUUCACCUGGACACAGGCGGGUACUAUCAUGCCUUAUCAUCUCUCACACAAGAACGCACACACUGAACGCCCAAAAAACAUCCAGAGACCCUGGGGCCGCCGGCCCCUCCGCGAACAGAGACACAUUCAGUUGGCCAACAAUGGGGAUGAACUGGUGUGUGCCUUCGGGAGCCUGGGCUCUGGAAAGAGGGGCAGGUAAUAAGCGAACACUAAGACGCGCGAAGCGCUGUGAAGUGACGCCGCUGGGGGACGGGGACGGAAGGAGGUGCGAUCGGACUCAGGGAAGAAGCUGGGAGAGGAGCUGCGUUCUGCACAGGGACACUGGCACCCGCACGGCCGCGGAGGCUGAAACCCUCUGGGCAUGUUUGCCGACCAAGAAAAGGGAGUGGCGUCGCAGCAGCUCCGGAAGUGAGAAGGGCGAUCUGGGAAGGAAGCGGUCCGCAGCACUGUACCCAGGGCCUCGCAAGUGUCUUCAUCUUGCCGCAGGGAUAAGAAGACGCGUCUGUCCUACCAGACCAUCCCCAGGCCUUCACGGCGGCAGGCACACCAUGGCCUGCGGGUCUCCAGGGAGAAUGACUCAAGUCCACAGACAAUCAGCAAGCCUCCAGGAUGGAGGGACACCUGCAGGAUGGCGGCCCACAGCCACUGCGCCAUCUAGCUCAUGGCAGAGAGACCACGUAUUUGGACAUCAGUUGCCCAAACCGUCAUCUGUAAAACAGGUGUGACUUCGCUGCGCUCCAGUUUGAGGUCCUGGAUGUGAACACCUGCUAUGGGAUGGGUGUGUCAGGCAGGGUCUGCAGACAGGAGGCAGGGACUAGGCGAGGUGGCCAUUGGCAGCUCCUGGGACUCCUUAACGGGUGCCGGCCACACAGCAGGUGCUCAUUAACGUUAGCUGCUACCCCCUCUGGCAACAGUGCUCACAGAAGGCUCUGGAGACCAGAAGAACGGAGGGGCCACGUUGGCUUCCCUCUCCUAGAGCCCAGACUGGGGACCCUUGCUUGCCUUGGGAAUGUGUCAUCAGUCUAAGGAGAGCGCUGGGGGCAAGGCCUCCUGCAGUGGACCUUGGCCUAGGCAGAAGCUUCUAGGCCACAGCGGAGGGGUCAGGGAGCGCCCACCCCCAUGCCUUUCUUCUGGCUCAGCCUCUCUUGCAGCACACCUGGCUGCCACCUUGCUGCCCUCGAAAAGGACGAGGGGCUCAGCUCCAACAGUUGCCAGCACAAUCUGAGUUUCCUUUCCCCUUCCUUAUAUCCUUAGAAACCCUGCUCAUCUUCUCUCGCUCACCCUCCCACAAGCUUCUUUAAAGGUCUUUUGUGGCUACAGAAGGCCUCACCCUGACUUGGGGAUUCUCACCCCACAAAGAGUGGACCCCAUGCAAGACGGUGCUAGUUCCAGCAAGAUAUUCUCAGGGAAGGCAGGCCCUGGGGGACAGAAGAACACUCCCCUUUGAGGGCACAAUGCAAGGACAGCUCUAGAACGCUCCGUUCUGGAAUCUGCCCCUGCUCUCCCAGAGCCUGCCUUGACCCACACCAGUCCACGGCUGUGUUAGCUUCCCACCCCAAGCUCUCAGCCCUGGUCACUCCCUUGCCUUGCCUCUGCCCCAGUCCCAGAAAGACUUCAGAAAUUUGGGUGCAGCCUCAAGGGGCACAGGUCCCAGCAGCCUCCUCCAGCCCUGUUGCCCUAGCCCUUCUGACACAAAUCAGGCCUCAGCCCUGCCCCCUGCUCCUC
Ursus americanus (American black bear) is the source of this 1925-nucleotide long non-coding RNA. The record is from Ensembl. NCBI's taxonomy places the organism in Eukaryota, Metazoa, Chordata, Mammalia, Carnivora, Ursidae.